UAAGUUCUGGUAGGACUAUAGGAAUAAAAAAUUCACUCUAUUUAGAACACUUAUCAUUGAGAUUUCCAAGCUUUUGAAAAACUUUAAUUAUAUAACUAAUCUAAAAUCAAAAUUUACAAUUGGUAUACUGUUUGCGGGGUCAAAUUUGAUUUCAAUAAGGUUGGUGGGUGCAUACAAAUGAUCUUUUGAUUAAACUAUUAUAUCCCAUGAUUCAUAUAUUCUAGAUGCAUCCAUAUUUGACUGAAAAUUAUAAUCCAAAAAGUUCGCCUUCUCUUUGCUACAAUUAUAUUUUCUUUCGCAAGUUAAGACUCCAUAGUGUCCUUUAAACUAAACAUGGGUUGUCAAGGAAAUUUCUCCUCUCGCACAUGAAACUUAACCAAAAUCAAUCUAUAAUUUUUUGUGGUUAUUUUCUCUUUGUGACUUAAUAUUUUGUAAUUGAAAAUGUAUGCAACAUCAGGGUGUAUACGUUCUUUGUAUCAUAAUGGAUUUCUUCUCCUUCUCAGUCCCCUUUUAAAUGUGUGCUGUUAAUUAACAUUGCGGGUUUAUAUCAGACUAGCCAGAUCAUAUCACAACUAAGAGCAUUGUUAUUCAUCGAGGGACACCUAUACCAUAUAUUGCACGAGUUAAGUUUUUAGUACCCAGUGAUAAAUAUUCCGACUUCCUUUUAAUAAUAUAGUUGUUGAUUUUCAUUGAUCUUAUGGUCAUACCAUUCUUAAUACAGACAUCCUGCUGGUAGCUAGCUCGGACACAAACUCUGCUGGUUUUGUUCUAUUUUUCGAUGUUGUUGCUGGUCCUUCUCCUGCUAUCGGUGAGCUUUUGGUCAUGUGUGCUGGACAAGAUUGUCAGCGGGUCACAGGGGCCGGGAAGGAAACAGCGUGGAAUGAUUUGUUUGCUGGACUGCUAUAUUAUUUUGUUUGUUGAACUGCUAUCAGGACAAAUCUACUCUUAACUAUUGAUUGUUUCUUUUUAAAAGUACAGGGAAUGUGAAGUAUUCUUAAUUAAUUCGGAAUAGGAUGUGAACCGUCCUUAGUUGUUUUAGAAUAGAAUGUGAAGUAUUCUUAGUUUGUUCAGAAUAGCAUACAACAAAACUAUUUUGGGUUCAGUUAGGCUACACCCAUAUAAUGGAUAUCAAUGUGUAACAUAUAGGUUCGUUGUUUAUACAAUAACCUGUAAUUUAUUUUUUCCCUAAGUUACUUAUGAUUUUUUCAUAUAUACAUUAGUUGUUGUGGCUUGAGCAGAUAACAAUGAUCGCCAUGGAAUUCAUGUAUAACUAAUACCAGUGUUUUCUCGCCAAAUAAAAUGAAGGGAAAGAAUGAUUUGUUUUUCAGAACUAAUCAUCUUAAAAUAUUUGCCUCUGUCGCGUUCAACUA
Lolium rigidum is the source of this 1370-nucleotide RNA transcript. RefSeq lists it as uncharacterized. The transcript has 3 exons. The record is from RefSeq and is a predicted model, not a curated record. Lineage: Eukaryota; Viridiplantae; Streptophyta; Magnoliopsida; Poales; Poaceae.